Callithrix jacchus (white-tufted-ear marmoset) is the source of this 418-nucleotide non-coding RNA. The record is from RefSeq and is a predicted model, not a curated record. NCBI's taxonomy places the organism in Eukaryota, Metazoa, Chordata, Mammalia, Primates, Cebidae.
ACAGCUGUGAAAUGUGCUUUCCAAAUAAGGCCCAUGAAGAUUGCCAAACAGACUUUCUUUCUCUUCCUCAGGCUCCUCAAGACCACUCCACGGAGAGUGAUCUUUCUAAGACACACAGCCCAUCCUAGCUGCUGUCCUCACAACAUGCUUCAAACAUCAAUUCAUCUAAGAAUACAUUUUCUGCAUGGGAUGAGCCCUCCUGCUCCUCUGGUCCCCAGAGCACUCACCAUUUUGUAUUUUCUGACUCCUGCGCAGUUUCUUGACAAGGACAGAGCCCAUAAUCUCUAUGCCUAAUGUCUGCUCUACUGCCUUGCACAUAGUGAGUGGCACUCAACAGAUGCCCUGUAGGAGUUUUGAUGGAUGGAUGGAUGAAUGAGUAAAUGAAUGAAUGAAUGAAUAAAGAUAAUUGGAAACACAA